Molecule: ribosomal RNA, 219 nt
Filed under: uncultured bacterium
Lineage: Bacteria
Description: partial 16S ribosomal RNA
Rfam family: Bacterial small subunit ribosomal RNA
Source: RNAcentral
ACCAUCCCAGUUCGGAUUGCAGUCUGAAACUCGAGUGCAUGAAGCUGGAAUCGCUAGUAAUCGCAAAUCAGAAUGUUGCGGUGAAUACGUUCCCGGGUCUUGUACACACCGCCCGUCACACCAUGGGAGUUGGAAAUGCCCGAAGUCAGUGACCCAACCAAAAGGAGGGAGCUGCCGAAGGCAGGUUCGAUGACUGGGGUGAAGUCGUAACAAGGUAAC